Sus scrofa (pig) is the source of this 4188-nucleotide RNA transcript. RefSeq lists it as uncharacterized. NCBI's taxonomy places the organism in Eukaryota, Metazoa, Chordata, Mammalia, Artiodactyla, Suidae. The record is from RefSeq and is a predicted model, not a curated record.
AUCUUUUUUAUGGCUUAUGCCACUCCAACUGGCAUAAACAAGGCAUAGCUGAAGAUUAAAUGUCCCGAACAUUAUUAGCCCAUUAGAUUUCUUAAUACCUUCUCCCAGGACUCUGUUCUCUUUACGCUCUCAAUCAAAUUUCUGUUUAUCAAAUUUCUAAAAUGUUCAUGAGAAGAGGUCCUCUUCCUUGUCACUCUUCAGGGAGCAAACACUCUCUUGUAUGCUUUGGAAAGGAAAACAAUUCCUUUUAGUUCAGAACUCAAGUUUCCAAGAAAAAGUCUUCUUUAUCCCUAACUUGGGUGACUGAUUUGUCCCAGACUAUCUGGGACUUUCCCAGCUGAAAGUCCUGUGUCUGCCCUUUAACCCAGGACAAACUGGGGUAGUUGGUCAUCCUACCAUGGCCCUGAUUUUCUGCAUCAGUUCCCCCCACUCCCCAGCUGGAAUCCAUACCUCUUCCAUUCUAAUAUUUAGGACUAAUUUUUGCAAAGUUGAUCCUGUGAGCACAGUUGUUAAUAGCCAAUAGGAGUCCCAUGUGAUAAUUGGGGACAGAGGGAGAGGGGGCUUUCAUGGAUUGCCCAGCUCAGGCAAGAUGAUGUUGAUGGGAAGGAGUUCCCUCUUCCUGCUUCUGAGGGUGAUAAAUCACACCCUGCAAAAUGCUUUGUUCUCACGAGAAAGAUAUUCUAUGGCUCUGUCUACCUCUAACCACAGCAGAUGGAUUGGUGAACUGGGCUUGAUGGCCUUUCACUCUAUGGGACAAGGAGAGUCCCUGUGAAGGUAGAGGACAGACUUUUUUAGGUCCUGGGCUUCCUGGUGGGAGACUUGAGGGACUCCUAGGAGUAGAAGAGAGUAGCUGUGGCUUGUUGGAGAUGAGAUGAGGAGAUGUUGGUGCUACUGGCUCUUGCCAGCAGGAAAUUAGGACUAUCCAUGGCCCCAGGGAAAAUUUUUUUUAAUGUUUUCAGAAUAGAACAUUCUAAUCAAGCCAAGCAGGGAGCAAUUACCUACAUUGUCAAUCAGUCUAGGUAGUAAUUGGGAAGAUUCAGCACGAAUCAGUUUGUCCUUCAUUUCUCUUGGCAAAGUAGGUCUGAUGACUUUGGCUGGCUUUAGCCGGCUCACUGUGGCUGGCAGGUUGUCCCAGCAGAUUAGAUGAAGCGUUGGCGCUAGCAGAGAGGUUAAAGCACUUGCUCAGGUGCCCCCUUCCCACGUGUUCUUAAUUUCUUAGGACGGAGUUCUCUGUGCAGGCUUAGAUCUGGCCGCCUUUCCGACUUGUCACAGGGUAUUUGUUGCUGCUGGAUUUGUUUUAGGGCGUGACUAUUUGACAGCUGGGGUCGGGGGAAGGGUGUGGGGAGGACCUCUAGUAGCAUUUCGCUUGCCUUGCUGCCUGGAGCCUCCUUAAAGGAGAAGAUGAAUUCACUGCAUGUGUGCGCGGGCCUUAUGUAAGCUGCAGGCGGCAGCGCAGAGUGGAGAACGUGAAGACAGGCGGGGGCAGGGAGAUUUGGCGAGGCAGGCCCCGCAGUGCAGAAACCAGCUCUGAAAGCUGCGCGUGGAGGUUAAUUUACCUCAUACUUAUAACUUUGACAAUCAAACAGCUUAACAGCUAUUUCAGACAUCUAUUCCUGCUAGAGGAUGCACUGUCCCUAUUUUUGGAAGCCGGCUGACGCAGAAGAAAGCCACCUCCCCCCGCCGCCGCCCCAACAGACACGCACUUUGCUGACAUUUUUCCUAGAAUAAACAGUGAUUCAGCUGAGAUAGCUUGACCGGAUCACUGUUGAGAACAAAAUGAUAUGAUUGUUAUAUGAAGCAAGAGGUGGUCCAAGAAGAAGGUAUAAUCUCCAGGGAGCAGACAGACACUUCUAAAAUCAAUAGACUGAUGAUUCACACUGCAGUCAAGUUCUGCUGGAAAGUAAGAGAUAAAUAUGCAUUUAUGAGAUUCAGAAUGCUAUUUUCAAACACCUGCAAAGAAGAGAACACUGUGUCAAUGUAUCCAGUCACAUAUUUGAGAGUCUGCAGAACCUGUCUACCUAAUGCCCAUUGGGAUGUGUGCCCUUUGCUUCUCUUUCCCUUCCCACAACCCAACCAUAGAGAGAAACGGCAGUGGAGAUGGUUUAUUUGGCCAGUGAGUCCUCACUCUUUCAAUCAUGUUUGCCCUCUCUUCCUGAUGUUUGGUAAGAAAAAAUGCCCUUUGAGUAAAAAGAAGAGCUUAGAAUGUCAUGGAAUACCAAGUUGUGGAUUUCCUGCUCUGAGCAAGCUGGAACUCAUCCUUAUCUCCAAGGUGCUAUAUUCUCCCACUCUUGCCUCACAUUCCACCAGUGCCUCAAGGCUUGCUACUUUUUGCGGUGAUAAAAAGGAUGUGCUCCACCUGGCCACAGUGGAUUCCCAACUUAUGUGAUGUGAGAGCUUUCAUAGGCCCUUCCAAAGACAAAUAUGGUACUAGAGUUGAUUCUGGAAACACUGAUCAUCUGCCCAUAUGGAAUCAACUACCACCCCCUCCUUAUGGGAAAAAUCGCCAACUGAUAAUGGCAAAAUCCACAGCCUACCACCCAUUAAAACUCAGAUAGAUCCCUUAAAAUAUCUUUCUAGAAUCAAUCAAUAUAAGAAGAACUUCAAGGCACAAAGGCCAUAUUAGAAGAUUACAAGGCUCAAGACCUCAUUGUCUUGUAUACUAACUAGUUCCUGUAAUGCUUCUAUUUUACUGGUGAGAAAAUCUAAGAGCUGAGAAUGGAGUUUUGUCCAGGACAUCUGAGCAAAAAAGAGUAUUGUUAUCCCUUGAUCUCAUGUUACUAACAUCCAUUCCCACUGGAAGAAUUUUUUUUUUUACCGUAAUUGAUUUAUGAAGUAUAUUCUUUAGUGUUCAGGUGAUGAAGCUAGCUAAUACCCUUUUCUUUUCCUGGGAAGAAAGAAUUCACCUGUACAGUAAUGCAUCAGGGUUUUACUGAGAGUUUUCAUUUAUCACAAAUCCUGAAGGCCCAUCUGGAUGAUAUAAAGUUCCCUAGGAGUUCUACUUCAUUGCAAUAUGUAGAUGAUUUGCUUCUUUGCUCUCCUUCUCCAGACUCUUCACUGGAAUACAGUAUCCACUUCCUAAAGCUUUUGAUGUUAAAGGGACAUAACAUUAUUUAAGGAAAAAAUACAGUUUUCCCAAACCCAGUUCAACAUUUAGGGCCCUUGAUAUUGAAACUAGGGCUACAUCUAGAUGCAAAUAGUCUUCAUGGUUUCCUAAGUUCCCCAAACCCCAAACUAAAUGCCAACUGCAAGGUUUUCUUGGGCUAGUUAGUUAUUGCCAAAAUUGGAUUCCAAAUUUUUCUUUUAUAGCCAGACCUUUGUAUGCAUUGUUAAAGAACAACAAUCCUUACCCAAUUUUUUGGCAGAAACUGAAUGAUAUAGCCUUGGAGACCUUAAAGGAGAGUUUGACGAACCUACCUGCAUUUUACGUCCUAAUUAUCAGAUUCCCUUUUUCCUUUAUGUGUAUGAAAAAGAAGGAAAUGCCACUGGGGCACUCACUCAAAAACACAGAGACCACCAUCAACCCAUAGGGUAUUAUACCUAGUAACCUAACCCUGUAGCUCGAGAAUAUAACUCUUAGGUUACAACUAUUACAGACACUACUUUUUUUGUUAGGUCUACUGAGAAAAUCAUUGUGGGAUCCCCUUUAACUAUUUUUGUACCUCAUGCUGUAGAAGCCCUCCUUAAUCUCAACAGCCAGCUACCUUACUUCCUAAGAAGUCCUGUUGUUAAUGUCUUUUCACAUAAUUCUUUUACUUUGCAUAACCUUAACUCUGUUACUCUUCUCCCUGCUGCUACUGAUAAAGUUUCUCAUGACUGCUUAACACUGAUGGGUCACAUCCUGACUCUCUGUGAUGAUCUGCAGGAAAUUUCUUUGGGACCCACAUGACCUACAGCCUGUGCCAACCCGAGUUUGAGAAGAUUCUCCAAGAACAGUUGAAGCAUGCACACUCUGAGAUGGCAAAAUACCACUCACAGGACCCAAGUUAAGCCUCCAGGCAGUUGUAUGCAGGGAGCAGCAUGCACAGUUUAGAAUCUGGCAUCUGAAGAAGUGAUUUUCAGCAGAGAAACUUUACAAAACAGUAGUGUUACAAGUCAAUCAGCCAUGAUGAAAGCAUCUGGAAUCUAAUAUAUGGCACAAAUGAAGCUUUCCACAGAAAAGAAAAUCAUGGACUUGGAGAAGAGACUUGU